This 292-nucleotide ribosomal RNA is filed under the name uncultured Verrucomicrobiota bacterium. RNAcentral describes it as "uncultured Verrucomicrobia bacterium partial 16S ribosomal RNA". The record is from RNAcentral. Lineage: Bacteria; Pseudomonadati; Verrucomicrobiota.
GGACUACUAGGGUUUCUAAUCCUGUUUGCUCCCCUAGCUUUCGUGCCUCAGUGUCAGGUGUUGUCCAGGGACUCGCCUUCGCCACUGGUGUUCCUCUCGAUAUCUACGCAUUUCACUGCUACACCGAGAAUUCCAGUCCCCCCUCCAAACCUCGAGUAAGAUAGUAUUCAAUGCAGUUUCCGGGUUAAGCCCGGAGAUUUCACAUCAAACUUACCCUACCACCUACGCACCCUUUACGCCCAGUGAAUCCGAACAACGCUUGGGACCUCUGUAUUACCGCGGCGGCUGGCAC